Molecule: ribosomal RNA, 155 nt
Filed under: uncultured Acidobacteriota bacterium
Lineage: Bacteria; Pseudomonadati; Acidobacteriota
Description: uncultured Acidobacteria bacterium partial 16S ribosomal RNA
Rfam family: Bacterial small subunit ribosomal RNA
Source: RNAcentral
AGCCUGACGCAGCAACGCCGCGUGGAGGAUGAAGGCCCUUGGGUUUGUAAACUCCUGUCGGUUGGGAAGAAAUCGUCCGAGGCGAAUACCCUCGGGUGUUGACUGUACCAGCAAAGGAAGCCCCGGCUAACUCUGUGCCAGCACCGCGGUAAUAA